Molecule: ribosomal RNA, 2446 nt
Filed under: Pseudomonas duriflava
Lineage: Bacteria; Pseudomonadati; Pseudomonadota; Gammaproteobacteria; Pseudomonadales; Pseudomonadaceae
Description: partial 23S ribosomal RNA
Rfam family: Bacterial large subunit ribosomal RNA
Source: RNAcentral
GUCUUUUGAGUGAAAUCGAGUAGGACGGCGCACGUGAAACGUUGUCUGAAUAUGGGGGGACCAUCCUCCAAGGCUAAAUACUACUGACUGACCGAUAGUGAACCAGUACCGUGAGGGAAAGGCGAAAAGAACCCCGGAGAGGGGAGUGAAAUAGAUCCUGAAACCGUAUGCGUACAAGCAGUGGGAGCCCACUUUGUUGGGUGACUGCGUACCUUUUGUAUAAUGGGUCAGCGACUUAUAUUCAGUGGCAAGCUUAACCGUAUAGGGUAGGCGUAGCGAAAGCGAGUCUUAAUAGGGCGUUUUAGUCGCUGGGUAUAGACCCGAAACCGGGCGAUCUAUCCAUGAGCAGGUUGAAGGUUAGGUAACACUGACUGGAGGACCGAACCCACUUCCGUUGAAAAGGCAGGGGAUGACUUGUGGAUCGGAGUGAAAGGCUAAUCAAGCUCGGAGAUAGCUGGUUCUCCUCGAAAGCUAUUUAGGUAGCGCCUCAUGUAUCACUCUGGGGGGUAGAGCACUGUUUCGGCUAGGGGGUCAUCCCGACUUACCAAACCGAUGCAAACUCCGAAUACCCAGAAGUGCAAGCAUGGGAGACACACGGCGGGUGCUAACGUCCGUCGUGAAAAGGGAAACAACCCAGACCGUCAGCUAAGGUCCCAAAGUUGUAGUUAAGUGGUAAACGAUGUGGGAAGGCUUAGACAGCUAGGAGGUUGGCUUAGAAGCAGCCACCCUUUAAAGAAAGCGUAAUAGCUCACUAGUCGAGUCGGCCUGCGCGGAAGAUGUAACGGGGCUCAAACUACACACCGAAGCUACGGGUUCAACGCAAGUUGAGCGGUAGAGGAGCGUUCUGUAAGCCUGUGAAGGUGAGUUGAGAAGCUUGCUGGAGGUAUCAGAAGUGCGAAUGCUGACAUGAGUAACGACAAUGGGAGUGAAAAACUCCCACGCCGAAAGACCAAGGGUUCCUGCGCAACGUUAAUCGACGCAGGGUGAGUCGACUCCUAAGGCGAGGCUGAAAGGCGUAGUCGAUGGGAAACAGGUUAAUAUUCCUGUACUUCUGAUUACUGCGAUGGGGGGACGGAGAAGGCUAGGCCAGCUUGGCGUUGGUUGUCCAAGUUUAAGGCGGUAGGCUGACUGUUUAGGUAAAUCCGGACAGUUAAGGCCGAGAGCUGAUGACGAGUAUCCUUUGGAUACGAAGUGGUUGAUGCCAUGCUUCCAGGAAAAGCCUCUAAGCUUCAGGUAAUCAGGAAUCGUACCCCAAACCGACACAGGUGGUCGGGUAGAGAAUACCAAGGCGCUUGAGAGAACUCGGGUGAAGGAACUAGGCAAAAUGGCACCGUAACUUCGGGAGAAGGUGCGCCGGUGAAGGUGAAGGACUUGCUCCGUAAGCCUAUGCCGGUCGAAGAUACCAGGCCGCUGCGACUGUUUAUUAAAAACACAGCACUCUGCAAACACGAAAGUGGACGUAUAGGGUGUGACGCCUGCCCGGUGCCGGAAGGUUAAUUGAUGGGGUUAGCGCAAGCAAAGCUCUUGAUCGAAGCCCCGGUAAACGGCGGCCGUAACUAUAACGGUCCUAAGGUAGCGAAAUUCCUUGUCGGGUAAGUUCCGACCUGCACGAAUGGCGUAACGAUGGCGGCGCUGUCUCCACCCGAGACUCAGUGAAAUUGAAAUCGCUGUGAAGAUGCAGUGUAUCCGCGGCUAGACGGAAAGACCCCGUGAACCUUUACUGUAGCUUUGCACUGGACUUUGAGCUUGCUUGUGUAGGAUAGGUGGGAGGCUUUGAAGUAGGGACGCCAGUCUCUAUGGAGCCAACCUUGAAAUACCACCCUGGCAAUCUUGAGGUUCUAACUCUGGUCCGUUAUCCGGAUCGAGGACAGUGUAUGGUGGGCAGUUUGACUGGGGCGGUCUCCUCCUAAAGAGUAACGGAGGAGUACGAAGGUGCGCUCAGACCGGUCGGAAAUCGGUCGUAGAGUAUAAAGGCAAAAGCGCGCUUGACUGCGAGACAGACACGUCGAGCAGGUACGAAAGUAGGUCUUAGUGAUCCGGUGGUUCUGUAUGGAAGGGCCAUCGCUCAACGGAUAAAAGGUACUCCGGGGAUAACAGGCUGAUACCGCCCAAGAGUUCAUAUCGACGGCGGUGUUUGGCACCUCGAUGUCGGCUCAUCACAUCCUGGGGCUGAAGCCGGUCCCAAGGGUAUGGCUGUUCGCCAUUUAAAGUGGUACGCGAGCUGGGUUUAGAACGUCGUGAGACAGUUCGGUCCCUAUCUGCCGUGGACGUUUGAGAUUUGAGAGGGGCUGCUCCUAGUACGAGAGGACCGGAGUGGACGAACCUCUGGUGUUCCGGUUGUCACGCCAGUGGCAUUGCCGGGUAGCUAUGUUCGGAAAAGAUAACCGCUGAAAGCAUCUAAGCGGGAAACUUGCCUCAAGAUGAGAUCUCACUGGAGCCUUGAGCU